Molecule: ribosomal RNA, 746 nt
Filed under: uncultured bacterium
Lineage: Bacteria
Description: bacterial SSU rRNA
Rfam family: Bacterial small subunit ribosomal RNA
Source: RNAcentral
AACACAUGCAAGUCGAACGGUAACAGGAAGCAGCUUGCUGCUUCGCUGACGAGUGGCGGACGGGUGAGUAAUGUCUGGGAAACUGCCUGAUGGAGGGGGAUAACUACUGGAAACGGUAGCUAAUACCGCAUAACGUCGCAAGACCAAAGAGGGGGACCUUCGGGCCUCUUGCCAUCGGAUGUGCCCAGAUGGGAUUAGCUAGUAGGUGGGGUAACGGCUCACCUAGGCGACGAUCCCUAGCUGGUCUGAGAGGAUGACCAGCCACACUGGAACUGAGGCACGGUCCAGACUCCUACGGGAGGCAGCAGUGGGGAAUAUUGCACAAUGGGCGCAAGCCUGAUGCAGCCAUGCCGCGUGUAUGAAGAAGGCCUUCGGGUUGUAAAGUACUUUCAGCGGGGAGGAAGGCGAUAAGGUUAAUAACCUUGUCGAUUGACGUUACCCGCAGAAGGAGCACCGGCUAACUCCGUGCCAGCAGCCGCGGUAAUACGGAGGGUGCAAGCGUUAAUCGGAAUUACUGGGCGUAAAGCGCACGCAGGCGGUCUGUCAAGUCGGAUGUGAAAUCCCCGGGCUCAACCUGGGAACUGCAUUCGAAACUGGCAGGCUAGAGUCUUGUAGAGGGGGGUAGAAUUCCAGGUGUANCGGUGAAAUGCGUAAAGAUCUGGAGGAAUACCGGUGGCGAAGGCGGCCCCCUGGAACAAAGACUGACGCUCAGGUGCGAAAGCGUGGGGAGCAAACAGGAUUAAAUA